This 253-nucleotide ribosomal RNA is filed under the name uncultured bacterium. RNAcentral describes it as "partial 16S ribosomal RNA". It matches the Rfam family "Bacterial small subunit ribosomal RNA", at positions 524 to 776 of the family's 1533-position model. The record is from RNAcentral.
UACGAAGGGGGCGAGCGUUAUCCAUCAUGACUGGGCGUAAAGGGUCUGUAGGUCGCUUUUCGUGUUAAAGGUGAAAAAGUAAAGCACACCUUUUUAAAGCCUUUAAUAGACAAAAGCUAUGAAUCUGAGUGAAGAUAGUGGAAUUUCAUAUGCGGGGGUGAUAUCCUUUGACGUAUGAAGGAAGACCGGUGGCGAAGGCGACUAUCUAUUUCAGUAUUGACGCUGAGGGACUAAAGCAUGGGGAGCAAACAGG